Nothoprocta perdicaria is the source of this 128-nucleotide long non-coding RNA. RefSeq lists it as uncharacterized. The transcript is spliced from 2 exons. The record is from RefSeq and is a predicted model, not a curated record. NCBI's taxonomy places the organism in Eukaryota, Metazoa, Chordata, Aves, Tinamiformes, Tinamidae.
CAUGACGUAGCAGUAGGAAAACCCCAUGGAUCUGAACUGCAGUGCUUAUGGCAGCCCUGGCACUCAUCCUGUGGCCCCUGAGUGCUGUGCUGUUGAGGCUGGAAGCGGCGAGGCCAGCGGCUCCAUCC